Molecule: long non-coding RNA, 257 nt
Organism: Pipistrellus kuhlii (Kuhl's pipistrelle)
Lineage: Eukaryota; Metazoa; Chordata; Mammalia; Chiroptera; Vespertilionidae
Exons: 2
Source: RefSeq, a predicted model, not a curated record
AAGGAGAAAGGUAUGGGUACCGAUAUGGGUGCAGAGCAAAGCAUUGCAAGGGAAGGUCACGGGAAAAUUUCGACCCCCUCUGGAUUUCCCUGUGAGCACACCGGGUUUGCAUAGAGGUUGGUAUCAAUACAAAUCCAAUCAGCUCUGCCUCUCCUCCCCAAAAGAUACCAAGAGCCGCUAACACUGGUGGGCCUGGGAAACCCACGGGAGGAACCAGGUCACUACUCCCCCAAUCGGUUAAGGCCCACCCUCAAUAA